RNAcentral lists this ribosomal RNA (460 nucleotides) under uncultured bacterium. RNAcentral describes it as "partial 16S ribosomal RNA". It matches the Rfam family "Bacterial small subunit ribosomal RNA", at positions 338 to 795 of the family's 1533-position model. The record is from RNAcentral.
CCUACGGGAGGCAGCAGUGAGGAAUAUUGGUCAAUGGACGAGAGUCUGAACCAGCAAAGUAGCGUGAAGGAUGACUGUCCUAUGGGUUGUAAACUUCUUUUAUAUGGGAAUAAAAUGUUGCUAGUGUGGGAACUUGUAUGUACCAUAUGAAAAAGGAUAGGCGAACUACGUGCCAGCAGCCGCGGUAAUACGGAGGGUCCGAGCGUUAUCCGGAUUUAUUGGGUGUAAAGGGAGCGUAGGUGGAUUGUUAAGUCAGUUGUGAAAGUUCGCGGCUCAACCGUAGAGUGGCAGUUGAAACUGGCAGUCUUGAGUGCAGAAGAGGUGGGCGGAAUUCGUGGUGUAGCGGUGAAAUGCUUAGAUAUAACGAGGAACUCCAGUUGCGAAGGCAGUUCACUGGACUGCAACUGACACUGAGGCUCGAAAGUGUGGGUAGCAAACAGGAUUAGAUACCCGUGUAGUC